Molecule: non-coding RNA, 2315 nt
Organism: Aegilops tauschii subsp. strangulata
Lineage: Eukaryota; Viridiplantae; Streptophyta; Magnoliopsida; Poales; Poaceae
Source: RefSeq, a predicted model, not a curated record
CCACGCGCCUCACGCGUACUAGUAUAAAAAACACCCCUGCCAGAACCGGAUCUGACCAAGGAUUUACUUGUUUCCUCCUCCUCUCUAUUCCCCUCCCCUUGAGACCACACCACAUCACAGAGGCCGCGGCGGCGCCGGCGCCGGCGCUCCCAAUGACGUCGACCACGGCGACAGAAGGCACGUUUUGCUACUUGGCUGGCUGUGGUCGGACACAAGGAGCUCGGGACGGCACAUAUGUUGUGCGGUGCAAGCAACUUCUUCUCUAUUGGAUUGGAUUGGAUUGGAUUUCCGCUGAGAACACGGCAAAGACCGCCAUCCACACCACACCACAGGACGUGUCCGGCGGUCCACUGGGCCAAAGGCCAGAUCUCGGCCCAGGCUACCCCGUACGCAUGAUGUGCGCAGGCCCAACCCGCCGCCUGUGAUCCACCGGGCUCGUUAUUGGGUGGACGGGCCUGGCUAUGGAUGGAUCUGGCCCAACAGGUGCCAUCACCUCCCGACCCAGCGCCGUCUCUCUCUUUUGGGGGAGGAAAGGGCGAGAGGUCGAGGGGCGGCGGCGACGACAGCGUCGACCGGUGGCGGAGGCGGCCGCGACCACCUCAACCCCCCGUGACCAGAGCCGGCCAUCAAUCCGCCAUAGCUUUUCGGGGGAACGUGGUGAGGUCGUUCUGACCGGCGGUGAUCUGUUUUGGAGGCGGCCGUCCCCAGCCCAAGCUCGUCUGCCUAAGGUCGACGGGAAGACGGGACUGAGGCUACAUCUGCGGGUUCUAUCUGUUGAGGACGCUGCCUUUCUUCCAACGAAAGCUUUCUCAGAUGGCCCCCAAGGAGCAACGACUUCACGCUGAUCUGUUCAAGGUGACCCACCAGAAGGUGGUUGAUGCCAUCAGGGCAAACAUACCUAAUCAGACCUCAUAUGAUCAAAUUAAGAUUAUCCAACUCAGCUGCGAGCCGACAGAUGAAGAAUUGUUGAUGUUUUAUGCGGAGGUCCAUAAUCACCUAUUGGAGGUGGCAUCCCUUUCUAUCAACAAGAACGUUGAUUUCUUUGCGCCAGAGGAGGGAUUCGCGGAAGGCUUUGUUCCUGAGAUUGCAGAAGGACUACCAGUUUUAAGGCCUCAAACUAAGAAUAUAUCAUAUUUCAUUGUCGAGUUUGUUGGUGGUCCUGGAGAACCACGCCUGCAAUUUGCUGUUCGCCAUGACAACCUGUACUGUGUCGGUUUCCGGGUGUUGUCUGCCAAUGAUAACGCAAAAACCAAAGCUUGGUCCUCUUUUGGUGAUGUUAACCUUUUGAAGUGUGCUGCAUUUCCUAAUGUUGAGGCAUCUAGAUUGUCAGAGAGCUAUAAAUCUUCCAAAUCAGUGCGAAUAUACCCCAAGGUUUUCUGACGAAUAUAUAUGUACUUCUCCAAAUACACUUGCAAUUCUGCUGUAGCUGUUGGGGAAUUGUUAAAAGACACAUUGUUUGUCGUUAUCUGUGAGGCAAGUCGCUUUGGGUUUGUCCAAAGGUUGACUUUUCAAGGAAUGCAUGCUUUUGAAGUUCCAGUUGGACUCACUGAUUUGAUGGAUAAUAUUAUUCAUGAUUACAAGGAUUUGUCAUUAGGGCACUGUUGAUAUUGCUGUAUGAGCUAGAAGAGAAAUUUGAGCGUGGCUGAGAGAUCAUGCUACCAUACUGAAGAUCAACUAGCAGCUGCACUAGUUGGAUUCAACAGUUAUUGACUGAUGUUUCUUAUUGAUUGCUGCUGAUUUGCUGAGAAAUGGCUCCUUAUGAUGAUUCAAUCUUUAUCCCAAGUUAUCCAUAUGACGCUUUUGAAGUUUAAUCUCUGAUGCUGUGUUGUCCCUGCCUCAUAUCAAUUGCUUUGAAAUGGCUCCUUAUGAUGAUUCAAUCUUGAUGAUGGCCUCUGCUUCUUGAUGGCCGUUUUCUAUGAUGUCCCUGCUUCUUCCUGAUGGUAGCCCAUGUGAUUUUGGCUGCUGUAGAUGACACUAGCCUUGUUAUUUGUUCAUUUUGUCCUUUCUCAGACAGUGGCUUUGCCGUUUUUGAGCUUGUGGCUGAUACUGCCUUAGGCUACUAGUUUACUGAAGUAGAACUCAGUGUAUUUUUUGUUGCUUGUGCCUUGUGUACCAUGGAAUUGCUGGCUGAUCUGCCUUGGGCUGCUAGUUUACUGAAGUAGCAUACCUCUAUGCUCAGUGUAAUGUUGUUGCUACUCACUGAAGAGCUCACUUUAUCAUUUCUGGGUAGCCUGAGGAUAAUGAAAUACGUGUACGAUGCGUUUGGUAGUCAACAAACUUUGUUAUCCAUGUAUUGGAGUUGAUGCUUGCCGAAA